This 1355-nucleotide ribosomal RNA is filed under the name Lactobacillus sp. RNAcentral describes it as "bacterial SSU rRNA". It matches the Rfam family "Bacterial small subunit ribosomal RNA", at positions 88 to 1430 of the family's 1533-position model. Lineage: Bacteria; Bacillati; Bacillota; Bacilli; Lactobacillales; Lactobacillaceae. The record is from RNAcentral.
UGAGUGAGUGGCGAACUGGUGAGUAACACGUGGGAAACCUGCCCAGAAGCGGGGGAUAACACCUGGAAACAGAUGCUAAUACCGCAUAACAACUUGGACCGCAUGGUCCGAGCUUGAAAGAUGGCUUCGGCUAUCACUUUUGGAUGGUCCCGCGGCGUAUUAGCUAGAUGGUGGGGUAACGGCUCACCAUGGCAAUGAUACGUAGCCGACCUGAGAGGGUAAUCGGCCACAUUGGGACUGAGACACGGCCCAAACUCCUACGGGAGGCAGCAGUAGGGAAUCUUCCACAAUGGACGAAAGUCUGAUGGAGCAACGCCGCGUGAGUGAAGAAGGGUUUCGGCUCGUAAAACUCUGUUGUUAAAGAAGAACAUAUCUGAGAGUAACUGUUCAGGUAUUGACGGUAUUUAACCAGAAAGCCACGGCUAACUACGUGCCAGCAGCCGCGGUAAUACGUAGGUGGCAAGCGUUGUCCGGAUUUAUUGGGCGUAAAGCGAGCGCAGGCGGUUUUUUAAGUCUGAUGUGAAAGCCUUCGGCUCAACCGAAGAAGUGCAUCGGAAACUGGGAAACUUGAGUGCAGAAGAGGACAGUGGAACUCCAUGUGUAGCGGUGAAAUGCGUAGAUAUAUGGAAGAACACCAGUGGCGAAGGCGGCUGUCUGGUCUGUAACUGACGCUGAGGCUCGAAAGUAUGGGUAGCAAACAGGAUUAGAUACCCUGGUAGUCCAUACCGUAAACGAUGAAUGCUAAGUGUUGGAGGGUUUCCGCCCUUCAGUGCUGCAGCUAACGCAUUAAGCAUUCCGCCUGGGGAGUACGGCCGCAAGGCUGAAACUCAAAGGAAUUGACGGGGGCCCGCACAAGCGGUGGAGCAUGUGGUUUAAUUCGAAGCUACGCGAAGAACCUUACCAGGUCUUGACAUACUAUGCAAAUCUAAGAGAUUAGACGUUCCCUUCGGGGACAUGGAUACAGGUGGUGCAUGGUUGUCGUCAGCUCGUGUCGUGAGAUGUUGGGUUAAGUCCCGCAACGAGCGCAACCCUUAUUAUCAGUUGCCAGCAUUAAGUUGGGCACUCUGGUGAGACUGCCGGUGACAAACCGGAGGAAGGUGGGGAUGACGUCAAAUCAUCAUGCCCCUUAUGACCUGGGCUACACACGUGCUACAAUGGAUGGUACAACGAGUUGCGAACUCGCGAGAGUAAGCUAAUCUCUUAAAGCCAUUCUCAGUUCGGAUUGUAGGCUGCAACUCGCCUACAUGAAGUCGGAAUCGCUAGUAAUCGCGGAUCAGCAUGCCGCGGUGAAUACGUUCCCGGGCCUUGUACACACCGCCCGUCACACCAUGAGAGUUUGUAACACCCAAAGUCGG